Trichomalopsis sarcophagae is the source of this 47-nucleotide regulatory RNA element. It matches the Rfam family "Histone 3' UTR stem-loop". Rfam says of the family: The mRNAs of metazoan histone genes lack a poly-A tail. 3' end processing occurs at a site between a highly conserved stem-loop (modelled by this family) and a purine rich region around 20 nts downstream (the histone downstream element, or HDE). NCBI's taxonomy places the organism in Eukaryota, Metazoa, Arthropoda, Insecta, Hymenoptera, Pteromalidae. The record is from Rfam.
AUAUCGGCCCUUUUCAGGGCCACCACAAAAUAUUAAAAGUAGAAUAU